Long non-coding RNA from Varroa destructor (honeybee mite), 814 nucleotides. RefSeq lists it as uncharacterized. NCBI's taxonomy places the organism in Eukaryota, Metazoa, Arthropoda, Arachnida, Mesostigmata, Varroidae. The record is from RefSeq and is a predicted model, not a curated record.
UCCGCCCUUUCACCUUAUCUCGCUUGUAGCUACCAACGGCGCUUGCCAACCAAGCAAUAUCCGUGAACCACUUUCUCCGGAAAGGGCCGGCAAAGCAGCACAGGUAUUACCCACAUUGUGUAUUGCACUAGUGGCGAAGAUAAUGAGAACAUGGCCACUGCGGAUUAAAGUAGUGAGGUGGCAACGGUAAUCGUAGUGGAUGCUGGUGAGUUCGUUGAGGUUACUUAGAAGAAAGAAGAACACGAAAAGACGGAUCAGGCGACGCUAAAGAGGGGAAGGGCUCAUAAGCCAAACGAUCGUAAACGCUGCAGCAUACACAUACAGAUUAACAACGACCAGAAACUGCUACAAAGGAUAGAUAGCGGUAAAAGCAAACGAUGUCGGCGUAUACUGCUCACCUGUUUUCCAGCAGAGGCACGCGUGCCUAACUCCAGAAACAUUGCUCACCCUGACAGGUUUCGUCCUACUCGUCUGCGAUCGAUUCCAUUAAGUGCUUCACUGGCGGCGUUCAUCCGGCGAAUCACAACAGUCCCCAUCGUCUUCGUGAGAGGAUGCGACUGACCGUCGAUUCAGCUUCUGCUUCAGCACGGGCGUCCGCUGGAAGAAGACAAAAAAAACGACGAAAUAUCGGAUCAGCUAAAGCGAGAUCAGGAAAUCUACCGCCGAAAAGCAGAAAAACGACACGGACAGAGAAGUAACUGCGAACUGUUCCCGGAACCUCUACGCGACCAAGGUCAUCGCGGCUCGGCGAAUCUUGAGCCGUGAUAGCGGGUCGUUUCUUUGAUAGUACAGAUGCAUUCGAUCACUAGGAAAA